Molecule: ribosomal RNA, 253 nt
Filed under: uncultured bacterium
Lineage: Bacteria
Description: partial 16S ribosomal RNA
Rfam family: Bacterial small subunit ribosomal RNA
Source: RNAcentral
GACGAGCCACACGAACGUUAUUCGGAAUUACUGGGCUUAAAGGGUGCGUAGGCUGCGCGGCAAGUUGGGUGUGAAAUCCCUCGGCUCAACCGAGGAACUGCGCCCAAAACUGCCGUGCUCGAGGAAGAUAGAGGUAAGCGGAACUUACGGUGGAGCGGUGAAAUGCUUAGAUAUCGUCAAGAACACCUAUAGCGAAGGCAGCUUACCAGGCUGUAACUGACGCUGAGGCACGAAAGUGUGGGGAUCAAACAGG